Molecule: ribosomal RNA, 401 nt
Filed under: uncultured bacterium
Lineage: Bacteria
Description: bacterial SSU rRNA
Rfam family: Bacterial small subunit ribosomal RNA
Source: RNAcentral
GAAUAUUGCACAAUGGGCGCAAGCCUGAUGCAGCGACGCCGCGUGGGCGAAGAAGGUUUUCGGAUCGUAAAGCCCUUUUCUGCGUGACGAUGAUGACGGUAGCGCAGGCAGACGUGGCCGCUAACUACGUGCCCGCAGCCGCGGUCAAACGUAGGACGCGAACGUUAUCCGGAAUUACUGGGCGUAAAGGGCGCGCCGGCGGUCGGGUAAGUUAGGCAUGAAAGCUCCCUGGCUAAACCGGGAGAGGCUGUCUGAUACUGCCGGACUGGAGUGUGGUAGAGGGGUGUAGAAUUCUGCGUGUAGUGGUGAAAUGCGUAGAUAUGCGGAGGAAUACCAGUGGCGAAGGCGGCACCCUGGACCACAACUGACGCUGAGGCGCGAAAGCAUGGGUAGCGAACGGG